RNAcentral lists this ribosomal RNA (512 nucleotides) under uncultured bacterium. Its description in RNAcentral is "bacterial SSU rRNA". It matches the Rfam family "Bacterial small subunit ribosomal RNA", at positions 8 to 518 of the family's 1533-position model. The record is from RNAcentral.
AGAGUUGAUCAUGGCUCAGGAUGAACGCUGGCGGCGUGCCUAACACAUGCAAGUCGAACGAAGCAUACGGACUGGAGAUUCGUCGAAGGACCGUAUGACUUAGUGGCGGACGGGUGAGUAAUGUAUGAGCAACCUGCCUUUCAGAGGGGGACAACAGUUGGAAACGACUGCUAAUACCGCGUAACGUAUCGUGGGGGCAUCCUCGUGAUACCAAAGGAGCAAUCCGCUGAAAGAUGGGCUCAUAUCUGAUUAGCUUAUUGGCGGGGUAACGGCCCACCAAGGCGACGAUCAGUAGCCGGACUGAGAGGUUGAACGGCCACAUUGGGACUGAGAUACGGCCCAGACUCCUACGGGAGGCAGCAGUGGGGAAUAUUGGGCAAUGGGCGAAAGCCUGGCCCAGCAACGCCGCGUGAAGGAAGAAGGUCUUCGGAUUGUAAACUUCUUUUAUGAGGGACGAAGGACGUGACGGUACCUCAUGAAUAAGCCACGGCUAACUACGUGCCAGCCGCAGC